GACGAACGCUGGCGGCGUGCUUAACACAUGCAAGUCGAACGGAAGGGCCCGGCUUUCAGUUUACUCGAGUUGCGAACGGGUGAGUAACACAUAGGUGGUCUACCCUGCACUUCGAGAUAAGCCUCUGAAACUGAGUCUAAUACCUGAUGGGAGACAUUUUGAGUGGGAUGGUUGGAAAGUUUUAUCGGGGUAUGAUGAGCUCGCUACCUAGCUGCUUGUUGGGGUGGUAAUGUAGUACCAAAGCGGCUACGGGUAGCCGGACUGAGGGGGUGGACGGCCACAUUGGGACUGAGAUAAGGCCCCGAUUGCUACGGGAGGGAGAAGGGGGGAAUAUUGACGAAUGGGCGCAAGCUGGAUGCAGAGAGGCCGCGUGGCGGAUGACGGUCUUAGGGUUGUAAAAUCUAUUCGUUAGGGACGAAGCUUUUUGUGACGGUACCUAGACAAGAAGCCCCGGCUAACUACGUG
RNAcentral lists this ribosomal RNA (465 nucleotides) under uncultured bacterium. RNAcentral's name for it is "partial 16S ribosomal RNA". It matches the Rfam family "Bacterial small subunit ribosomal RNA", at positions 28 to 507 of the family's 1533-position model. The record is from RNAcentral.